RNAcentral lists this ribosomal RNA (492 nucleotides) under uncultured bacterium. Its description in RNAcentral is "partial 16S ribosomal RNA". It matches the Rfam family "Bacterial small subunit ribosomal RNA", at positions 29 to 507 of the family's 1533-position model. The record is from RNAcentral.
AGUGAACGCUGGCGGUAGGCCUAACACAUGCAAGUCGAACGGCAGCACAGUAAGAGCUUGCUCUUACGGGUGGCGAGUGGUGGACGGGUGAGGAAUACAUCGGAAUCUACUUUUUCGUGGGGGAUAACGUAGGGAAACUUACGCUAAUACCGCAUACGACCUACGGGUGAAAGCAGGGGAUCUUCGGACCUUGCGCGAUUGAAUGAGCCGAUGUCGGAUUAGCUAGUUGGCGGGGUAAAGGCCCACCAAGGCGACGAUCCGUAGCUGGUCUGAGAGGAUGAUCAGCCACACUGGAACUGAGACACGGUCCAGACUCCUACGGGAGGCAGCAGUGGGGAAUAUUGGACAAUGGGCGCAAGCCUGAUUCAGCCAUACCGCGUGGGUGAAGAAGGCCUUCGGGUUGUAAAGCCCUUUUGUUGGGAAAGAAAAGCAGCAGGUUAAUACCCCGCUGUUCUGACGGUACCCAAAGAAUAAGCACCGGCUAACUUCGUG